ACGCACGCUGGCGGCGUGCUUAACACCUGCAAGUCGAACGGAAAGGCCCUUCGGGGUACUCGAGUGGCGAACGGGUGAGUAACACGUGGGUGAUCUGCCCUGCACUUUGGGAUAAGCCUGGGAAACUGGGUCUAAUACCGAAUAGGACCACGCGCUUCAUGGUGUGUGGUGGAAAGCUUUUGCGGUGUGGGAUGGGCCCGCGGCCUAUCAGCUUGUUGGUGGGGUAAUGGCCUACCAAGGCGACGACGGGUAGCCGGCCUGAGAGGGUGACCGGCCACACUGGGACUGAGAUACGGCCCAGACUCCUACGGGAGGCAGCAGUGGGGAAUAUUGCACAAUGGGCGCAAGCCUGAUGCAGCGACGCCGCGUGAGGGAUGACGGCCUUCGGGUUGUAAACCUCUUUCAAUAGGGACGAAGCGCAAGUGACGGUACCUAUAGAAGAAGCACCGGCCAACUACGUG
Molecule: ribosomal RNA, 461 nt
Filed under: uncultured bacterium
Lineage: Bacteria
Description: partial 16S ribosomal RNA
Rfam family: Bacterial small subunit ribosomal RNA
Source: RNAcentral